GAAAUGCGAUAAGUAAUGUGAAUUGCAGAAUUCAGUGAAUCAUCGAAUCUUCGAACGCACAUUGCGCCCCCUGGCAUUCCGGGGGGCAUGCCUGUUCGAGCGUCAUUACACCACUCAAGCCUGGCUUGGUAUUGAGCGCCGCGGCCUGCCCGCGCGCUCCAAUGUCUCCGGCUGAGCCGUCCGUCUCUAAGCGUUGUGAAUAGCGAUCGCUUGCGAGGCCCGGGCGGUUCGACGCCGUUAAACCCCCCAUUUUCUAUGGUUGACCUCGGAUCAGGUAGGGAUACCCGCUGAACUUAAGC
This 299-nucleotide unclassified non-coding RNA is filed under the name plant metagenome. Its description in RNAcentral is "partial contains 5.8S ribosomal RNA, internal transcribed spacer 2, and large subunit ribosomal RNA". The stretch from base 1 to 105 matches the Rfam family "5.8S ribosomal RNA", at positions 50 to 154 of the family's 154-position model. The record is from RNAcentral.